Molecule: small nucleolar RNA, 92 nt
Organism: Juglans microcarpa x Juglans regia
Lineage: Eukaryota; Viridiplantae; Streptophyta; Magnoliopsida; Fagales; Juglandaceae
Product: small nucleolar RNA Z122
Exons: 1
Source: RefSeq, a predicted model, not a curated record
CAUGGGAAAUGAUGCCAAGAUUCAAACUGUUGAUCAGCGGCCCCAGCCAGCCGUGCUGAAUUGGUAUUUUUGCACGUCAAUCUGAUCCCGAA